CGUGUAGGCGGUUUCUUAAGUCUGAUGUGAAAGCCCUGGGCUCAACCCAGGAAGUGCAUUGGAUACUGGGAGACUUGAAUACGGGAGAGGGUAGUGGAAUUCCUAGUGUAGGAGUGAAAUCCGUAGAUAUUAGGAGGAACACCGGUGGCGAAGGCGGCUACCUGGACCGAUAUUGACGCUGAGACGCGAAAGCGUGGGGAGCAAACAGGAUUAGAUACCCUGGUAGUCCACGCCGUAAACGAUGAGAACUAGGUGUUGCGGGUAUUGACCCCUGCAGUGCCGCAGCUAACGCAUUAAGUUCUCCGCCUGGAAGUACGGUCGCAAGACUAAA
This 331-nucleotide ribosomal RNA is filed under the name uncultured bacterium. RNAcentral describes it as "bacterial SSU rRNA". It matches the Rfam family "Bacterial small subunit ribosomal RNA", at positions 568 to 898 of the family's 1533-position model. The record is from RNAcentral.